AGCGAACGCUGGCGGCAGGCCUAACACAUGCAAGUCGAACGGACCCUCCGGGGUUAGUGGCGGACGGGUGAGUAACACGUGGGAACGUGCCCUUUGGUUCGGAACAACACAGGGAAACUUGUGCUAAUACCGGAUAAGCCCUUCGGGGGAAAGAUUUAUUGCCAUUGGAGCGGCCCGCGUUGGAUUAGGUAGUUGGUGAGGUAAAGGCUCACCAAGCCUGCGAUCCAUAGCUGGUCUGAGAGGAUGAUCAGCCACAUUGGGACUGAGACACGGCCCAAACUCCUACGGGAGGCAGCAGUGGGGAAUCUUGCGCAAUGGGCGAAAGCCUGACGCAGCCAUGCCGCGUGAAUGAUGAAGGUCUUAGGAUUGUAAAAUUCUUUCAGCGGGGACGAUAAUGACGGUACCCGCAGAAGAAGCCCCGGCUAACUUCGUGCCAGCAGCCGCGGUAGUACGAAGGGGGCUAGCGUUGCUCGGAAUUACUGGGCGUAAAGGGAGCGUAGGCGGAUAGUUUAGUCAGAGGUGAAAGCCCAGGGCUCAACCUUGGAAAUGCCUUUGAUACUGGCUAUCUUGAGUAUGGGAGAGG
RNAcentral lists this ribosomal RNA (583 nucleotides) under uncultured Caulobacter sp. RNAcentral's name for it is "bacterial SSU rRNA". It matches the Rfam family "Bacterial small subunit ribosomal RNA", at positions 28 to 657 of the family's 1533-position model. Lineage: Bacteria; Pseudomonadati; Pseudomonadota; Alphaproteobacteria; Caulobacterales; Caulobacteraceae. The record is from RNAcentral.